UGCGUAGGUGGCGUGGUAAGUCGGGUGUGAAAUUUCGGAGCUUAACUCCGAAACUGCAUUCGAUACUGCCGUGCUUGAGGACUGGAGAGGAGACUGGAAUUUACGGUGUAGCAGUGAAAUGCGUAGAGAUCGUAAGGAAGACCAGUGGCGAAGGCGGGUCUCUGGACAGUUCCUGACACUGAGGCACGAAGGGCUAGGGAGGCAAACG
RNAcentral lists this ribosomal RNA (208 nucleotides) under uncultured bacterium. RNAcentral describes it as "partial 16S ribosomal RNA". It matches the Rfam family "Bacterial small subunit ribosomal RNA", at positions 568 to 774 of the family's 1533-position model. The record is from RNAcentral.